GAUGAACGCUGGCGGCGUGCCUAAUACAUGCAAGUCGAGCGAACAGACGAGGAGCUUGCUCCUCUGACGUUAGCGGCGGACGGGUGAGUAACACGUGGAUAACCUACCUAUAAGACUGGGAUAACUUCGGGAAACCGGAGCUAAUACCGGAUAAUAUAUUGAACCGCAUGGUUCAAUAGUGAAAGACGGUUUUGCUGUCACUUAUAGAUGGAUCCGCGCCGCAUUAGCUAGUUGGUAAGGUAACGGCUUACCAAAGCAACGAUGCGUAGCCGACCUGAGAGGGUGAUCGGCCACACUGGAACUGAGACACGGUCCAGACUCCUACGGGAGGCAGCAGUAGGGAAUCUUCCGCAAUGGGCGAAAGCCUGACGGAGCAACGCCGCGUGAGUGAUGAAGGCCUUCGGAUCGUAAAACUCUGUUAUUAGGGAAGAACAAAUGUGUAAGUAACUAUGCACGUCUUGACGGUACCUAAUCAGAAAGCCACGGCUAACUACGUG
RNAcentral lists this ribosomal RNA (497 nucleotides) under uncultured bacterium. RNAcentral's name for it is "partial 16S ribosomal RNA". It matches the Rfam family "Bacterial small subunit ribosomal RNA", at positions 28 to 507 of the family's 1533-position model. The record is from RNAcentral.